CUAAUAGAGGUUUUCUGGAUGCCAUUGGCCAUCCUUCAGUGAAGGAUUUGUGUUGCAAAGAGGGGAGGGCUAGUAUCUCAGUUGUAAACCUUUGCAUUUAAGUUUCAUACUCAAGCCAGCAGCAUCCUUGGAGUCCAGUUCAAAGCUGGGGAGAACUAACCAUGGAGCCAGAAGCCACUGGUGGAGGGACUGGCCUAAAGGAAGUGAAGUGUUUCAGCCAGAAUGUACUGACGCACAACCAGGAAACCACAAGACUGGCACCUCCUGCUGUGAAACUAACUGCUAAGGGAUUAUAGCAAUGUAAUCCUCACACUGGUCCAUCUCAAGGUUACUCUGAAGUGGAGAGAAGGAAG
Molecule: long non-coding RNA, 353 nt
Organism: Choloepus didactylus (southern two-toed sloth)
Lineage: Eukaryota; Metazoa; Chordata; Mammalia; Pilosa; Megalonychidae
Exons: 3
Source: RefSeq, a predicted model, not a curated record